RNAcentral lists this ribosomal RNA (458 nucleotides) under uncultured bacterium. Its description in RNAcentral is "bacterial SSU rRNA". It matches the Rfam family "Bacterial small subunit ribosomal RNA", at positions 28 to 507 of the family's 1533-position model. The record is from RNAcentral.
GAUGAACGCUGGCGGCGUGCUUGAUACAUGCAAGUCGAACGGAGAGUGUAGCAAUAUACUCUUAGUGGCGAACGGGUGAGUAACGCGUUGGUGACCUGCCCCGAAGCGAGGGAUAACAGUUCGAAAGAACUGCUAAUACCUCAUGUGAUCACCGGUUUUAGAAUCUGGUGAUUAAAGGUGAAAAUCACUUCGGGAGGGGCCUGCGUCCCAUCAGCUAGUUGGUAGGGUAAUGGCUUACCAAGGCGAUGACGGGUAGGGGACCUGAGAGGGUGGCCCCCACAAUGGAACUGAAACACGGUCCAUACACCUACGGGUGGCAGCAGUAGGGAAUAUUGCAAAUGGGCGAAAGCCUGAUGUAGCAACGCCGCGUGUGCGAUGAAGGUCUUCGGAUUGUAAAGCACUUUUUGGAGGGAUGAGGAAGGACAGUACCUCCAGAAUAAGCCUCGGCUAACUACGUG